RNAcentral lists this ribosomal RNA (515 nucleotides) under uncultured bacterium. RNAcentral's name for it is "bacterial SSU rRNA". It matches the Rfam family "Bacterial small subunit ribosomal RNA", at positions 32 to 518 of the family's 1533-position model. The record is from RNAcentral.
AACGCUGGCGGCGUGCCUAAUACCAUGCAAGUCGAACGGUCUUUCUAUGGAAGCUUGCUUCCACUGAGAAGAUAGUGGCGAACGGGUGAGUAACACGUGGGUAACCUGCCCAUAAGAGGGGGGAUAACAUCCGGAAACGGGUGCUAAUACCGCAUAGUUUUCUUGGUCGCAUGAUCGGGAAAGGAAAGACGGCCUUUGUGCUGUCGCUUAUGGAUGGACCCGCGGCGUAUUAGUUAGUUGGUGAGGUAACGGCUCACCAAGACGAUGAUACGUAGCCGACCUGAGAGGGUGAUCGGCCACAUUGGGACUGAGACACGGCCCAAACUCCUACGGGAGGCAGCAGUAGGGAAUCUUCCGCAAUGGACGAAAGUCUGACGGAGCAACGCCGCGUGAGUGAAAGAAGGUUUUCGGAUCGUAAAACUCUGUUGUCAGAGAAGAACAAGUUGGAGAGUAACUGCUCCAGCCUUGACGGUAUCUGACCAGAAGGCCACGGCUAACUACGUGCCAGCCGCCGC